Molecule: ribosomal RNA, 635 nt
Filed under: Ixeris stolonifera
Lineage: Eukaryota; Viridiplantae; Streptophyta; Magnoliopsida; Asterales; Asteraceae
Description: eukaryotic LSU rRNA
Rfam family: 5.8S ribosomal RNA (bases 251-406)
Source: RNAcentral
UCGACCUGCAUGCAGAACGACCUGUGAACAUGUAAAUACAACUUGGUGUUGGGGAGAUGGGCCUUGGUCYUGAUYUUCAACAUCUCCUGGCGCGCUUGCAUGGUGCUCUUUGGGCAACAUGUAUGUCUUGUCAGAUCUUAACAAACCCCGGCACGGAAUGUGCCAAGGAAAACAUAAAAUGAGAAGGACUUGACCUGUUUGCCCCGUUCGCGGUGUGUAUACAGGUUUUGGCCUCCUUGGAAUCACAAACGACUCUCGGCAACGGAUAUCUCGGCUCACGCAUCGAUGAAGAACGUAGCAAAAUGCGAUACUUGGUGUGAAUUGCAGAAUCCCGUGAACCAUCGAGUUUUUGAACGCAAGUUGCGCCCGAAACCAUCCGGUUGAGGGCACGCCUGCCUGGGCGUCACGCAUCGCGUCGCCCCCCAACAUACUCUCCCUUACUGGGUUGUCAUGUUGAUUGGGGACGGAGAUUGGUCUCCCGUGCUUCUGGUGCGGUUGGCCUAAAUAGGAGUCCCCUUCGGUGGAUACACGGCUAGUGGUGGUUGUUAAGACCCUCGUGUUGUGCUGUGUGUUGUGAGCCGUUAGGGAAACCCUCAUCAAAGACCCUAUUGUAUCGUCUCAGUACGAUGCUCGUC